RNAcentral lists this ribosomal RNA (238 nucleotides) under uncultured bacterium. RNAcentral describes it as "partial 16S ribosomal RNA". It matches the Rfam family "Bacterial small subunit ribosomal RNA", at positions 524 to 762 of the family's 1533-position model. The record is from RNAcentral.
UACGUAGGGUGCAAGCGUUAAUCGGAAUCACUGGGCGUAAAGCGCGUGUAGGUGGAAGAGGAAGUCUGCUGUGAAAGCGCCUGGCUUAACCGGGCGAGGUCGGUGGAAACUCCUCAUCUAGAGGUCGGUAGAGGGGGGUGGAAUUCCGGGUGUAGUGGUGAAUGCGUAGAGAUCCGGAGGAACACCUGUGGCGAAGGCGGCCCCCUGGGCCGCACCUGACGCUGAGACGCGAAAGCGC